RNAcentral lists this ribosomal RNA (303 nucleotides) under uncultured bacterium. Its description in RNAcentral is "bacterial SSU rRNA". It matches the Rfam family "Bacterial small subunit ribosomal RNA", at positions 355 to 674 of the family's 1533-position model. The record is from RNAcentral.
UGGGGAAUAUUGCACAAUGGGGGAAACCCUGAUGCAGCGACGCCGCGUGAGUGAAGAAGUAUUUCGGUAUGUAAAGCUCUAUCAGCAGGGAAGAAAAAAGACGGUACCUGACUAAGAAGCCCCGGCUAACUACGUGCCAGCAGCCGCGGUAAUACGUAGGGGGCAAGCGUUAUCCGGAUUUACUGGGUGUAAAGGGAGCGUAGACGGCGCGGCAAGUCUGAAGUGAAAGGCAGGGGCUUAACCCCUGAACUGCUUUGGAAACUGCCAUGCUAGAGUGCUGGAGAGGUAAGUGGAAUUCCUAGU